AUGUUUGAGACGAUUACAUUAAAAACAUUUAUAUAUUGUGCUCACCUGAAGUAGCUGUUUCAGCUAAAAAAGCAAAGCAGGAGUACGACAAGGAUAUGUUUUCCUUCCACCCUCAUUAUGAUGAAAUGAUGAGCGUUGUUUGCUGCAGUGUCGCCCAGUGUGUCCGUGGGUUGUUGUAGUUGUAUUA
Long non-coding RNA from Haliotis rubra (blacklip abalone), 187 nucleotides. RefSeq lists it as uncharacterized. The record is from RefSeq and is a predicted model, not a curated record. NCBI's taxonomy places the organism in Eukaryota, Metazoa, Mollusca, Gastropoda, Lepetellida, Haliotidae. The transcript is spliced from 3 exons.